Molecule: long non-coding RNA, 1118 nt
Organism: Cyprinus carpio carpio
Lineage: Eukaryota; Metazoa; Chordata; Actinopteri; Cypriniformes; Cyprinidae
Source: Ensembl
AUCACAGACCGUGGAAACUUAACACUGGACUUCAAGCAACUUGGGCUAUGAGCUUCUCCACCCUUUCUCCAGACUCUAGGACCUUGGUUUCCAAAUGAAAUACAAAACUUGCUCUCAUCUGAAAAGAGGACUUCAGACCACUGGGCAACAGUCCAGUUCUUCUUCUCCUUAGCCCAGGUGAGACACCUCUGACGUUGUCUGUGGUUCAGGAGUGGCUUUAACAAGAGGAAUACGACAACUGUAGCCAAAUUCCUUGACACGUCUGUGUGUGGUGGCUCUUGAUGCCUUGACCCCAGCCUCAGUCCAUUCCUUGUGAAGUUCACUCAAAUUCUUGAAUUGAUUUUGCUUGACAAUCCUCACAAGCUGCGGUUCUCUCGGUUCGUUGUGCAUCUUUUUCUUCCAGACUUUUUCCUUCCACUCAACUCUCUGUCAACAUGCUUGGAUACAGCACUCUGUGAACAGCCAGCUUUUUUGGCAAUGAAUGUUUGUGGCUUACCCUCCUUGUGAAGGGUGUCAAUGAUUGUCUUCUGGACAACGGUCAGAUCACUAGUCUUCCCCAUGAUUGUGUAGCCUAGUGAACCAAACUGAGAGACCAUUUUGAAGACUCAGGUAGUGGUGGGCAGAUCAAGGCUUCGUGAAGCAAUGAAACAGUUGAAGCAAAUGUCCCAUACUAGCUGUGUCCCAAAGUUGAGUGUGCAGACUUCGAAAGACCAGACCUCCGAAGUGCACGAAGGGUCCUCUGAAGUGCGUGAGAUGCUCCGCCUUCACAGGAUUUCCUAAUUCCGCCACCAGCUGUUUCCGAUCAGCACUCUGUCGCAUAGCAACGGUGCGAGAAGAGCGCUGACGAGAGGACAGUCCUGCCAGGACAGGUGGAGCCAGAACUAUUCAUUUUUGUUUUUAUGUUUUACGUCGUAAUGGAGGAGACAGUUAUGAACCUCAGGCUUAACCAAGACCGAGGCCAGGUAAAUUACACUGGUUUGCUGCGAUCUUUGUCGGAUUACAACUUUAAAUGCAGACCAGACCCCUGUACUGCAGGAUAAAGCUGAAUGUGCCAGCGCUGGACAGGUGUUUAAUGGUUUUUAAUGGUUUUGGCCCUGACAGUGCUGCUGGAUCUACUG